Molecule: transfer RNA, 73 nt
Filed under: Marmota monax (woodchuck)
Lineage: Eukaryota; Metazoa; Chordata; Mammalia; Rodentia; Sciuridae
Rfam family: tRNA
About the family: Transfer RNA (tRNA) molecules are approximately 80 nucleotides in length. Their secondary structure includes four short double-helical elements and three loops (D, anti-codon, and T loops).
Source: Rfam by way of RNAcentral
GGGGAUGUAGCUCAAGUGGUAGUGCGCUCACCUGGCAUGUGAGGGGCACUGGGUUCAAUCCUCAGCAUCACAU